AACGAACGCUGGCGGCAUGCCUAACACAUGCAAGUCGAACGAUACCUUCGGGGAUAGUGGCGCACGCGUGCGUAACGCGUGGGAACCUGCCCUUAGGUUCGGAAUACCUCAGUGAAAUUUGAGCUAAUACCGGAUAAUGUCUUCGGACCAAAGAUUUAUCGCCUUUGGAUGGGCCCGCGUUGGCUUAGCUAGUUGGUGGGGUAAAGGCCUACCACGGCUUCGAUCCAUAGCUGGUCUGGGAGGAUGCUCAGCCACACUGGGAGGGAGAAACGGCCCAGACUCCUACGGGAGGCAGCAGUGGGUAAUAUAGGACAAUGGGCGGAAGCCUGAUGCAGCAAUGCUGGGUGAGCGAUGAAGGCCUGAGGGUUGUAAAGCUCGUUUAUCCGGGAUGAUAAUGACAGUACCGAGAGAAUAAGCCCCGGCUAACUUCGUG
This 433-nucleotide ribosomal RNA is filed under the name uncultured bacterium. Its description in RNAcentral is "partial 16S ribosomal RNA". It matches the Rfam family "Bacterial small subunit ribosomal RNA", at positions 29 to 507 of the family's 1533-position model. The record is from RNAcentral.